RNAcentral lists this ribosomal RNA (496 nucleotides) under uncultured bacterium. Its description in RNAcentral is "partial 16S ribosomal RNA". It matches the Rfam family "Bacterial small subunit ribosomal RNA", at positions 29 to 507 of the family's 1533-position model. The record is from RNAcentral.
AUGCACGCUGGCGGCGUGCCUAAUACAUGCAAGUCGAGCGAACAGACGAGGAGCUUGCUCCUCUGACGUUAGCGGCGGACGGGUGAGUAACACGUGGAUAACCUACCUAUAAGACUGGGAUAACUUCGGGAAACCGGAGCUAAUACCGGAUAAUAUAUUGAACCGCAUGGUUCAAUAGUGAAAGACGGUUUUGCUGUCACUUAUAGAUGGAUCCGCGCCGCAUUAGCUAGUUGGUAAGGUAACGGCUUACCAAGGCAACGAUGCGUAGCCGACCUGAGAGGGUGAUCGGCCACACUGGGACUGAGACACGGUCCAGACUCCUACGGGAGGCAGCAGUAGGGAAUCUUCCGCAAUGGGCGAAAGCCUGACGGAGCAACGCCGCGUGAGUGAUGAAGGUCUUCGGAUCGUAAAACUCUGUUAUUAGGGAAGAACAAAUGUGUAAGUAACUAUGCACGUCUUGACGGUACCUAAUCAGAAAGCCACGGCUAACUACGUG